AGUUACACGUCGCAGCGACUCAGUGUGCCCGGUAUGCGGCAACUACUACAAGUACCGCCGGUCCAUGUACCGCCACCUGCGCAGGUCCGCUCAGUGCCGGGAUGCCGCCGCCGCCCUCGCCUGCUUGCAUCCCGGCCUGGUUGCCGACGACUCUUGACUCCCGACUCCCGUGACAUUUUGGCUCAUUCUGAAGACUGAUUGUGCAAAAACUGGUCCUACACCCAGUUUCAAAUAUUUGUUUGUUAUGUCUCGUUUUAUGUCCAGUCCUAUGUACAGUAAACUUUGAAACUCCUCCUCUUUGGAGCAAUAAAUGUCUUUAAUGUCUAGCAAAUGCCUACAUGGAUCUGAAUUUUAGAUAACAUUUACCUUGUCAAAGUCUGAAAACUUGUAAGUGGUAUGUCGCAGCCGAGUCCCAAAGUUCGGAGUUUCUGAUCCAAGCGUUCGUCUGCACUCUAUGCUCCAAGUCCUACAACUCCAACAAGUCUCUAAUGAGGCACAUCCGUUACGAGUGCAACAGAGAGCCUCUCCAGUUUUGUCCCUUUUGCCCACACCGCACGAAGCUCCGGGAGAACCUCAAGAAACACGUCCGCAACAAGCACCCUUCCGCUGGUCCUAUAUAAUUAGUGCUCGUAACGCUGCGUAUUCUGUUCACAUUCACGGCAUUAUACCGAUGCCCUGUGCUUGGGAAUACUGUGCGUGGUGGCAUUCUGGUCUGCAAUAAAUAUGAAAGCAAACUCCAAA
This is a long non-coding RNA of Frankliniella occidentalis (western flower thrips), 741 nucleotides long. RefSeq lists it as uncharacterized. The transcript is spliced from 2 exons. Lineage: Eukaryota; Metazoa; Arthropoda; Insecta; Thysanoptera; Thripidae. The record is from RefSeq and is a predicted model, not a curated record.